UCUCCGUUGGUGAACCAGCGGAGGGAUCAUUACAGAGUUACCUCACUACCAAACCCUUUGUGAACUUAACUUAUUGUUGCCUCGGCGAGCCCCUGGGAUUCGUCCUACGCCCGCCGAUGGCCCCCUUAACUCUGUUACCUAUUAAGUAAUCUGAGCGUACUUUAAAAAUAAAGUCAAAACUUUCAACAACGGAUCUCUUGGUUCUGGCAUCGAUGAAGAACGCAGC
This 226-nucleotide unclassified non-coding RNA is filed under the name uncultured fungus. Its description in RNAcentral is "sequence contains ITS1, 5.8S rRNA gene". The stretch from base 178 to 226 matches the Rfam family "5.8S ribosomal RNA", at positions 1 to 49 of the family's 154-position model. Lineage: Eukaryota; Fungi. The record is from RNAcentral.